UUUGUGGUCCUCGUCUGUUUGGAAGAUCAGCUCUUUCAGACGGCGUUCAUUCUUGUGCAGAGUUUUCACCGUCUCCACGUGACGCUUCUGUUCGGAAUCUAGCUCCGUUUCCAGUUCCUUAAUCUGAAAAGGAGGUGCAUGCAGUGAUCCUGCUCCUGACGCAGCUCUUCUGCCAUGCGGGAAGCCUAAGAGCAGGCGCAGUACAUUCUCAUCAAGCACGACAGCAUUUUAAUGCCAGCAGCGGAGCAAACAGUACAACGACCCUGUAUCAAGAGUGUGGUAUUUGUUUUCACCUGGACAUUGAUUUCGUUGUGCCUCUCAGUGAUCUCUAUCAGCUCCUGCUCCAGGAGUUUGCG
Molecule: non-coding RNA, 356 nt
Organism: Chrysemys picta bellii (western painted turtle)
Lineage: Eukaryota; Metazoa; Chordata; Testudines; Emydidae
Source: RefSeq, a predicted model, not a curated record